AGCAGCCGCGGUAAUUCCAGCUCCAAUAGCGUAUAUUAAAGUUGUUGCAGUUAAAAAGCUCGUAGUUGAAUUUCGGGGUCAGUAGGCUGGUCGUGCCACGGGUAUGUACUGGUCUUACUGAUUCCUCCUUCCUGAUGAACCGUAAUGCCAUUAAUUUGGUGUUGCGGGGAAUCUGGACUGUUACUUUGAAAAAAUUAGAGUGUUUAAAGCAGGCUAACGCUUGAAUACAUUAGCAUGGAAUAAUGAAAUAGGACGAUCGAUCCUAUUUUGUUGGUUUCUAGGAUUGACGUAAUGAUUAAUAGGGAUAGUUGGGGGCAUUAGUAUUCAAUUGUCAGAGGUGAAAUUCUUGGAUUUAUUGAAGACUAACUACUGCGAAAGCAUUUGCCAAGGAUGUUUUCAUUAAUCAAGAACGAAAGUUAGGGGAUCGAAGACGAUCAGAUACCGUCGUAGUCUUAACCAUAAACUAUGCCGACUAGGGAUCGGAUGAUGUUAAUUUUUUAAUGACUCAUUCGGCGCCUUACG
Molecule: ribosomal RNA, 522 nt
Filed under: uncultured Glomus
Lineage: Eukaryota; Fungi; Glomeromycota; Glomeromycetes; Glomerales; Glomeraceae
Description: SSU rRNA
Rfam family: Eukaryotic small subunit ribosomal RNA
Source: RNAcentral